CAGUAGCCGCGGUAAAACGAGGGGGGCAAGCGUUGUUCGGAUUUAUUGGGCGUUAAGGGUGCGUAGGCGGUUUGGCAAGUCUCGUGUGAAAUCUAUGGGCUCAACCCAUAGUCUGCACGGGAAACUGUCGGGCUUGAGAAUGGGAGAGGUGAGUGGAAUUUCCGGUGUAGCGGUGAAAUGCGUUGAGAUCGGAAAGAACACCAACGGCGAAAGCACUCUGCAGGGCCGACACUGACACUGAGAGACGAAAGCUAGGGGAGCAAAUGGGAUUAGAUACCCCAGUAGUCCCUGUCUCUUAUAA
Molecule: ribosomal RNA, 301 nt
Filed under: uncultured bacterium
Lineage: Bacteria
Description: partial 16S ribosomal RNA
Rfam family: Bacterial small subunit ribosomal RNA
Source: RNAcentral